CCCUGCAGCUGAAUGGAGGAAAAUGCAACGCAGGGGAGAGCACAAACAAACAUUCUUGUGUAAGAGCCCUUAUUUAAACAAAGUGCCUAGCUAUGCUAAUGUAUGGGCACAGCUGUUAAUCAUUAGGACACACCUUUGUGUUUUACCAAAUCCAGAGCAAACUGAACAAUCCUCCUGGAAACAUCAGGAACUCCGCCUGCCCCAGAUCGUGCAUUUUACAAUCUGCAGUUUUGCCCUUUGGCUUUAGCCCUUUAAAGGACAAGGAAAACAUUCACUGGGAGCAGCUCGCCAGUUUUAAUUUCAGCAAUCUGAUUGCUAAGGUCCACAUUACCCAACAAUUCAUUGAUAUGAAUAAGAGACUGGAAUAUGAACAGGAGAAGCCUAAAUAGAAAGAAGAAUCAUAAAAAAUAAACGAGAGAAAAAAAAUAAAACAAUAUACCGUGGUCUCCAUACUGCCAAGCAUCAUAACAGAAAUUUAUAUGACAUAUCUUGUACAAUAAAUUUGUACAACGACCAUCUGUAGGAACUCAGUUCCAGAGUGACCGUAGUUUCAGAAUUCCGCAUCACAAUAGGAGUUGCGCACCUUUCUUCAGGAGAAUCCGGAUGGAAACAUCGGCAACCAUGUGGAAGUGCAGGAGUGUGUCUAAAUGCAAGUACGUCAUUGGGUCGACAUGCACUCUUCAUUUGUUCCACUUUAAAGAUGAAGAAAAGAGGAAAAUAACCAGCAUGAACACAAAAUAUACAACUUUGGCACUGCACCUGGAAAGAGUUGAAGAAAAGUUCACAAUGCAUCCGAAUUUCCCAAGCUAGGCCAGUGAAGGUGUGUGGCAGGCACACAAACACAAUGUAAUGGACACCGAACACAAGAAUGAGAACCAGUGUAGACUUCGCCAACUUUCUAGAAAAUAAAUUGGAAACGUGGAGGAGUCAAGAUCACCAGUGUAAAAUAAUUAAUAAAACAUGGACAUUCUUCUAUUUAAAAUACGUAAAUCCAAAUUUAAUUGGACUUUCAUGAAUAACAUAAAUUAGCAUUGUCAAGGCAACUCAUAUACCAGCUCCCAGAAAUAUAUAAACAUGCCAUUUUGCUAACAGAUGCUACAUUGUUAACACAGGUUAGAAAGCUAAUGCUGAGCCAACUAUUCAUUUUACUUACUAUUACUACAUUUUCUUUUAUAUUGAAGUUGCUCUCUAAUGCUGCUGAUUCCUGCAUGGUAGAUAAGAAGUAAUCCUUCCAACAGUCUUUCAGUGCUUACUUUUUUAUUUUUUUUAAUUUCUUUCUUUUGCGGUUGGCUGGAGAAAAGCCAAUAUAAACUACAGAUACUACGAUCGCUAGCAAUUCAAUAAACAACAACAAAUAAACAAUACACUUCUAUAUAAAGAACUAACAUAUGCAUACAAAAAAAAAAACUGGCUUACAGACAAACUGAAAAAGUAGGUAAUGGGCUCCAUGUUGGUGAAAUAU
This is a long non-coding RNA of Xenopus laevis (African clawed frog), 1462 nucleotides long. RefSeq lists it as uncharacterized. The transcript has 5 exons. The record is from RefSeq and is a predicted model, not a curated record. Lineage: Eukaryota; Metazoa; Chordata; Amphibia; Anura; Pipidae.